GACAGAGGGUGCAAACGUUGUUCGGAAUUACUGGGCGUAAAGCGAGUGUAGGCGGUCUGCUAAGUCGGGUGUGAAAGCCCUGGGCUCAACCCCAGGCCUGCAUCCGAUACUCCCGGGCUCGAGGCAGGUAGGGGAGAUCGGAAUUCCUGGUGUAGCGGUGAAAUGCGCAGAUAUCAGGAGGAACACCAAUGGCGAAGGCAGCUCGCUGGGACGGUACUGACGCUGAGGCGCGAAAGCGUGGGGAGCAAACAGG
Molecule: ribosomal RNA, 253 nt
Filed under: uncultured bacterium
Lineage: Bacteria
Description: partial 16S ribosomal RNA
Rfam family: Bacterial small subunit ribosomal RNA
Source: RNAcentral